ACAUAAUUUUGUUUCCCUCAAUCUCGCUCCUCCCUCCUCCCUCUGUCCGUCUCUCCUCCCUUCCUCAGAGCUCAGAGAGAACACUGGAAGACUCCAUCCUCCCCUGUAUAUGCCAGCUCUCCUCUGGUCUCUACCCGUCUCUCCUGGUCUGUAAUCGUGUCCACUAGUUUCUACUGGUGUCUAAUUCUCUGAAGUCAGUCUUUUUUUUUUCAAUCGGUCUCUACUGGUUUUAUUCGCUUCAACGGGUAUCUACUGGACUCAACUAGUGUCUACUCUUUUCUACUGCUCCAUCCUGGUCUUUGUGCAUCUCAACUGGUUUCUGUUCUUCUAUAGAAAUCUCUACUGGUCUCUCUUUGGUCUCUACUGGUCUCUACAAUACUUUACUUGUCUCAACUUGUCUCAUCCUUGUGUUCACUGGUCUCUCCUGGUCUCCGUCAGUCUCAACUGGUCUGUACAGGUCUAAGGGAGACGUGUGAGAGCUGGAAUCUCCUGGUAGCAGCAAGACACACAGACAGGAGGACAGAAUCUGAGUCAUCGAAAGACAACACUUAGGAACGACCAGAGAACUACAAACCACAGAGGACUACAAAUAUGGAGUCAGCACAAGAUAAAGCUGUAACAGCAACAAAAAUGACAACUUCCCCUCAGAAGCAGGUGGUCAAGAGCAGGUCCAAGUCCACUGACGGUGUUCAGCAGGCGAAAAAGGCUUUCCACACGCCUCAGAAGUCUCUACCUGGAGGAGCAGACAUGCACCAGACGGCUAGCCCAGAGAAGAUCGACCCCACCAUCCGGAAAUGACGAACGGACACGGACUGCCAUCGUGGACAUGUUUGUGGUGUCCAGUCACAGUAACACCAGUGACACACCAGUGACCCAUUCUGUCCUAACGUGUCUGUGUAUCUGUCUUUCUGGACACCGUCCUGUCCUCCACUUCUGUUUAAACACAACCUGCUGGGAGUUUGUCAAUGUUGAGUCCAGUGACGUUUGUUUGUGAUGCUGGUUAAUAAUGACGGGCAAUAAAUAUGAUGAAGACGGA
Molecule: long non-coding RNA, 1036 nt
Organism: Hypomesus transpacificus
Lineage: Eukaryota; Metazoa; Chordata; Actinopteri; Osmeriformes; Osmeridae
Exons: 5
Source: RefSeq, a predicted model, not a curated record